Molecule: ribosomal RNA, 640 nt
Filed under: Salmonella enterica
Lineage: Bacteria; Pseudomonadati; Pseudomonadota; Gammaproteobacteria; Enterobacterales; Enterobacteriaceae
Description: partial 23S ribosomal RNA
Rfam family: Bacterial large subunit ribosomal RNA
Source: RNAcentral
UGUGGACGCCAGUCUGCAUGGAGCCGACCUUGAAAUACCACCCUUUAAUGUUUGAUGUUCUAACGUGGACCCGUAAUCCGGGUUGCGGACAGUGUCUGGUGGGUAGUUUGACUGGGGCGGUCUCCUCCUAAAGAGUAACGGAGGAGCACGAAGGUUGGCUAAUCCUGGUCGGACAUCAGGAGGUUAGUGCAAUGGCAUAAGCCAGCUUGACUGCGAGCGUGACGGCGCGAGCAGGUGCGAAAGCAGGUCAUAGUGAUCCGGUGGUUCUGAAUGGAAGGGCCAUCGCUCAACGGAUAAAAGGUACUCCGGGGAUAACAGGCUGAUACCGCCCAAGAGUUCAUAUCGACGGCGGUGUUUGGCACCUCGAUGUCGGCUCAUCACAUCCUGGGGCUGAAGUAGGUCCCAAGGGUAUGGCUGUUCGCCAUUUAAAGUGGUACGCGAGCUGGGUUUAGAACGUCGUGAGACAGUUCGGUCCCUAUCUGCCGUGGGCGCUGGAGAACUGAGGGGGGCUGCUCCUAGUACGAGAGGACCGGAGUGGACGCAUCACUGGUGUUCGGGUUGUCAUGCCAAUGGCACUGCCCGGUAGCUAAAUGCGGAAGAGAUAAGUGCUGAAAGCAUCUAAGCACGAAACUUGCCCCGA